CCUACGGGGGGCUGCAGUGGGGAAUAUUGGACAAUGGGGGCAACCCUGAUCCAGCCAUGCCGCGUGUGUGAAGAAGGCCCUCGGGUUGUAAAGCACUUUCAGUGAGGAAGAACGCCUGGUGGUUAAUACCCAUCAGGAACGACAUCACUCACAGAAGAAGCACCGGCUAACUCCGUGCCAGCAGCCGCGGUAAUACGGAGGGUGCGAGCGUUAAUCGGAAUUACUGGGCGUAAAGCGCGCGUAGGUGGCUUGAUAAGCCGGUUGUGAAAGCCCCGGGCUCAACCUGGGAACGGCAUCCGGAACUGUCAAGCUAGAGUGCAGGAGAGGAAGGUAGAAUUCCCGGUGUAGCGGUGAAAUGCGUAGAGAUCGGGAGGAAUACCAGUGGCGAAGGCGGCCUUCUGGACUGACACUGACACUGAGGUGCGAAAGCGUGGGUAGCAAACAGGAUUAGAUACCCCUGUAGUC
Molecule: ribosomal RNA, 465 nt
Filed under: Vreelandella stevensii
Lineage: Bacteria; Pseudomonadati; Pseudomonadota; Gammaproteobacteria; Oceanospirillales; Halomonadaceae
Description: partial 16S ribosomal RNA
Rfam family: Bacterial small subunit ribosomal RNA
Source: RNAcentral